This 231-nucleotide long non-coding RNA is filed under the name Musa acuminata (dwarf banana). RNAcentral's name for it is "long non-coding RNA (MACU_LNC009051)". Lineage: Eukaryota; Viridiplantae; Streptophyta; Magnoliopsida; Zingiberales; Musaceae. The record is from RNAcentral.
UAGCAGAUAUAUUUACAAAAGCUUUGAAUGAAGACCAAUUUGAAUUCAUUAGAAGGGAAUUAGGUAUGUUAAAUUGUCCCUAAGAAUAAACUUGUUUGAAUGGAUUUUCCGUAAAGUUUUUCAUUCUCUCUCCGUUCCUCGGUGACUUGUUAAAUUAUCUUAUCCUAUCUUGAGUCAAACACCGCUUCCAUCUGAUCAAGAUUAAUGAUUUUAUGAUAAUUUGAAUCUCGA